This 491-nucleotide ribosomal RNA is filed under the name uncultured bacterium. RNAcentral's name for it is "partial 16S ribosomal RNA". It matches the Rfam family "Bacterial small subunit ribosomal RNA", at positions 28 to 507 of the family's 1533-position model. The record is from RNAcentral.
GAUGAACGCUGGCUACAGGCUUAACACAUGCAAGUCGAGGGGAAACGACGGGGAAGCUUGCUUCCCCGGGCGUCGACCGGCGCACGGGUGAGUAACGCGUAUCCAACCUGCCUCUGACUGAGGGAUAACCCGUCGAAAGUCGGCCUAAUACCUCAUGGUAUCGUCUGCGGGCAUCCAACGACGAUUAAAGAUUUCAUCGGUCAGGGAUGGGGAUGCGUCUGAUUAGCUUGUUGGCGGGGUAACGGCCCACCAAGGCUACGAUCAGUAGGGGUUCUGAGAGGAAGGUCCCCCACAUGGGAACUGAGACACGGUCCAAACUCCUACGGGAGGCAGCAGUGAGGAAUAUUGGUCAAUGGGCGAGAGCCUGAACCAGCCAAGUAGCGUGCAGGAAGACGGCCCUAUGGGUGGUAAACUGCUUUUAUGCGGGGAUAAAGUGAGGGACGUGUCCCUCAUUGCAGGUACCGCAUGAAUAAGGACCGGCUAAUUCCGUG